CUUAAAGUAAGGGUUGAAAAGCUUCUAGUUGAUCACACGAGACUUGUUGAGGAACAUGAGCUCCUUGUGACUAGUUCCAAGGUUGUCAAAGGUGACCUCAUUGCCCUCACCGAGUCUUAUGCUCAACUUAAAGCUACAACCAUUAAGGCUCUUACUUCCGUCCCUCAUAUUGAUUUAAAUGAUGAAUCUUGUACGGCUAACUUUGCUCAUGAUUGCACCUCUCUCCAAGAGGAGAAUAAGAAGUUAAAAGCCCAAAUUGAGAAAGGGCUUGUGUCAUGCAUUCAGGGGGAGAAAAACCUCAAUGACCUCUUGAGCAACCAAAAGGAGUGUGUUGCCAAGGAGGGAAUUGGGUUUGACCCCUCUUCUAAGAAGAAGAAGACCAAGAAGAAGAGCCACAAGAAGAAGAUCGGUCCUACUCCUCCUCCCCAACAAAAGAUAGCAUUUGUUCAUGAAGGACACAAGGAGAAGGAGAAGGAAAAAGGGAAUGUUGGGGAUGGCAAGGUCACUAGGGACAAGGCCAUUCCCAAAGAGUUUGCCGGCAAGAACAACCCAUCUUAUGUCCUCAUGAGAGGAGAUGAUGGUUAUACCUUUGCUAAAUUUGUUGGCACUAACUAUGAUGAUUAUGCUUGG
This 630-nucleotide ribosomal RNA is filed under the name Triticum aestivum (bread wheat). Its description in RNAcentral is "partial small subunit ribosomal RNA". Lineage: Eukaryota; Viridiplantae; Streptophyta; Magnoliopsida; Poales; Poaceae. The record is from RNAcentral.